UUGCUUUGGCACCACAUAGACUAAAAUUGGAAUGAUGCAGGUAAGGUUAGUGUGGCCCCUGUGCAAGGGUGUGGUGCAAACUCAUGGAGCAUUGGAGAUUUUU
This is a small nuclear RNA of Loxodonta africana (African savanna elephant), 103 nucleotides long. The record is from Ensembl. NCBI's taxonomy places the organism in Eukaryota, Metazoa, Chordata, Mammalia, Proboscidea, Elephantidae.